AGAGCUAACAACUAGCAUACUGGUCAAAUCCAGAAUUAUGCAGUGACAAGACACUGUUGAAUGCAAUGAAGGUAAUAACACAGAAUGCUCACAUACUCACAGAGCUUGCUGGUACCAUCAUGCAUUCAUUCACAGCCACCCAACUGAAGAAGUGGAGAAGGCUGCUGGCCUGUUGUAUCCUGACUGGUAUGUAUUUCUCCAUCCAGCUUAUGAAACCGACUCAUGUUGUCUGGCACAGACAGAGCUUCUAUGAUGCAUCCACUUUGUAAAAAAUAAAUGAAACUUUAUUACAUUAUUAUUAGAGAGA
Molecule: long non-coding RNA, 307 nt
Filed under: Anas platyrhynchos platyrhynchos (common mallard)
Lineage: Eukaryota; Metazoa; Chordata; Aves; Anseriformes; Anatidae
Description: lncRNA (ENSAPLG00000030130.1)
Source: RNAcentral